RNAcentral lists this ribosomal RNA (429 nucleotides) under Bacillota bacterium. RNAcentral's name for it is "Firmicutes bacterium partial 16S ribosomal RNA". It matches the Rfam family "Bacterial small subunit ribosomal RNA", at positions 355 to 776 of the family's 1533-position model. The record is from RNAcentral. Lineage: Bacteria; Bacillati; Bacillota. RNAcentral also lists the same sequence under 3 other names.
UAGGGAAUCUUCCGCAAUGGACGAAAGUCUGACGGAGCAACGCCGCGUGAACGAAGAAGGCCUUCGGGUCGUAAAGUUCUGUUGUUAGGGAAGAACAAGUACCAGAGUAACUGCUGGUACCUUGACGGUACCUAACCAGAAAGCCACGGCUAACUACGUGCCAGCAGCCGCGGUAAUACGUAGGUGGCAAGCGUUGUCCGGAAUUAUUGGGCGUAAAGCGCGCGCAGGUGGUUCCUUAAGUCUGAUGUGAAAGCCCACGGCUCAACCGUGGAGGGUCAUUGGAAACUGGGGAACUUGAGUGCAGAAGAGGAAAGUGGAAUUCCAAGUGUAGCGGUGAAAUGCGUAGAGAUUUGGAGGAACACCAGUGGCGAAGGCGACUUUCUGGUCUGUAACUGACACUGAGGCGCGAAAGCGUGGGGAGCAAACAGG